RNAcentral lists this ribosomal RNA (301 nucleotides) under uncultured bacterium. RNAcentral describes it as "partial 16S ribosomal RNA". It matches the Rfam family "Bacterial small subunit ribosomal RNA", at positions 509 to 807 of the family's 1533-position model. The record is from RNAcentral.
CAGCCGCCGCGGGGAUACGUAGGGGGCAAGCGUUAUCCGGAAUAACUGGGCGUAAAGCGCGCGCAGGUGGUUUAAUAAGUCUGACGUGAAAGCCCACGGCUCAACCGUGGAGGGUCAUUGGAAACUGUUAAACUUGAGUGCAGGAGGGAAAAGUGGAAUUCCUAGUGUAGCGGUGAAAUGCGUAGAGAUUAGGAGGAACACCAGUGGCGAAGGCGGCUUUUUGGCCUGUAACUGACACUGAGGCGCGAAAGCGUGGGGAGCAAACAGGAUUAGAUACCCCAGUAGUCCCUGUCUCUUAUAC